Molecule: transfer RNA, 80 nt
Filed under: Actinobacillus pleuropneumoniae serovar 3 str. JL03
Lineage: Bacteria; Pseudomonadati; Pseudomonadota; Gammaproteobacteria; Pasteurellales; Pasteurellaceae
Description: tRNA-Met
Rfam family: tRNA
About the family: Transfer RNA (tRNA) molecules are approximately 80 nucleotides in length. Their secondary structure includes four short double-helical elements and three loops (D, anti-codon, and T loops).
Source: RNAcentral
CGCGGGGUGGAGCAGCUUGGUAGCUCGUCGGGCUCAUAACCCGAAGGUCGUUGGUUCAAAUCCGGCCCCCGCAACCAAAA